This 500-nucleotide ribosomal RNA is filed under the name uncultured bacterium. RNAcentral describes it as "partial 16S ribosomal RNA". It matches the Rfam family "Bacterial small subunit ribosomal RNA", at positions 30 to 523 of the family's 1533-position model. The record is from RNAcentral.
AUUGAACGCUGGCGGAAUGCUUUACACAUGCAAGUCGAACGGCAGCACGGACUUCGGUCUGGUGGCGAGUGGCGAACGGGUGAGUAAUGUAUCGGAACGUGCCCAGUCGUGGGGGAUAACGUAGUGAAAAUUACGCUAAUACCGCAUACGAUCUAUGGAUGAAAGCGGGGGAUCGCAAGACCUCGCGCGAUUGGAGCGGCCGAUAUCAGAUUAGGUAGUUGGUGGGGUAAAGGCCCACCAAGCCAACGAUCUGUAGCUGGUCUGAGAGGACGACCAGCCACACUGGAACUGAGACACGGUCCAGACUCCUACGGGAGGCAGCAGUGGGGAAUUUUGGACAAUGGGCGAAAGCCUGAUCCAGCCAUUCCGCGUGCAGGAUGAAGGCCCUCGGGUUGUAAACUGCUUUUGUACAGAACGAAAAGGUUUCUACUAAUACUAGGAGCUCAUGACGGUACUGUAAGAAUAAGCACCGGCUAANUANGUGCCAGCAGCCGCAGUAA